Molecule: transfer RNA, 82 nt
Filed under: Chelonia mydas (Green sea turtle)
Lineage: Eukaryota; Metazoa; Chordata; Testudines; Cheloniidae
Rfam family: tRNA
About the family: Transfer RNA (tRNA) molecules are approximately 80 nucleotides in length. Their secondary structure includes four short double-helical elements and three loops (D, anti-codon, and T loops). Further hydrogen bonds mediate the characteristic L-shaped molecular structure. tRNAs have two regions of fundamental functional importance: the anti-codon, which is responsible for specific mRNA codon recognition, and the 3' end, to which the tRNAs corresponding amino acid is attached (by aminoacyl-tRNA synthetases). tRNAs cope with the degeneracy of the genetic code in two manners: having more than one tRNA (with a specific anti-codon) for a particular amino acid; and 'wobble' base-pairing, i.e. permitting non-standard base-pairing at the 3rd anti-codon position.
Source: Rfam by way of RNAcentral
GUGAUUUUGGCUGAGUGGUUAAGGGAAUGGACUAGAGAUCCAUUGGGGUCUGCCUACACAGGUUUGAAUCCUGCCAAUGACA